UACGUAGGGUGCAAGCGUUAUCCGGAUUCAUUGGGCGUAAAGGGUGCGUAGGUGGCGCUGUAGGUCAGGUGUGAAAUUUCGGAGCUUAACUCCGAAACUGCAUUUGAUACUGCGGUGCUUGAGGACUGGAGAGGAGACUGGAAUUUACGGUGUAGCAGUGAAAUGCGUAGAGAUCGUAAGGAAGACCAGUGGCGAAGGCGGGUCUCGUGGACAGUUCCUGACACUGAGGCACGAAGGCCAGGGGAGCAAACGGG
This 254-nucleotide ribosomal RNA is filed under the name uncultured bacterium. RNAcentral's name for it is "partial 16S ribosomal RNA". It matches the Rfam family "Bacterial small subunit ribosomal RNA", at positions 524 to 776 of the family's 1533-position model. The record is from RNAcentral.